GGUGUAGCAAUCUGUCAGAGUUAAGAGAUGGAUCAUUUUAUACCUUUAUUGUUUUAUCGGGGCUCUCUGAAUUGGCAAAUUUGGCAUCCGGGGAGAAAUGGCCAGGGACUGCUAAAUGCCUGAUAUCUGGAGGAAGGACUGAUUUCAGAGUCACUUCAUUUGACCUCAGGAAGGUACAGCUAAUUAGCCAGCCAUGAAGAACUGAGGAGACAGGUCUACACAUCAAGUUUCUAGGAUGUCCUUCCCGGGAUCUCACAUUGGUUUCUAUGGGAACGAGAAUGGCUCUGAAGAGGAGCAUUUUAAGAACUCUUUUUACAUUCAGUGACUGCUAACUGAACUGCAAAUUCUGUUUGUUAAUGAUUUUUAACUCUUACAUUUUAACACAGAAAUAAAAAUUGGGCAUUCUAGCUUCAUAAAUCAUUUUAAAUAGUAAAAACUAUUUUUAUGAAACAUCUGGCACAUUGAAACAUUAGAAAAUGAAAUAACUGGCUCUAGGACCUAAUAAUCUAUUCACUUUAUUAAAUUCAUUAGUGAUUAAUCCAUAUUAGCCAUGUGCUUACCCUUGGAAAAUUGUGUAAAGAAAACAUCAUCUGAUACAUUGUUUUAGUACAUUUUCUCUGCUAUUGAUGUGUGUAUAUAUGUUUUCUUACUUUUGUAAAAAUUCCUUUAAAAAGCAGUAUAAAAUGUUCUGCAUUUAAAGUUUCCCUCUCCAGUGCCUCACCCAUCCUGUGCUAUUAUUUACCCUGGUACCAUGUUAUACCUUUGCCAUGUUCUCACACCAGCUGGAACUUAUUUUUAGUAUUUUUUGAAACAAGCUCCUAAGUCUUCAAAUUUCACUUUUUCUUUUUCUUGGAAUAGAUUUUUAGAUCAUAAAAGGCCCAAUGUGUAAGUUAUGUAUUACAUUUGUG
Mustela erminea (ermine) is the source of this 908-nucleotide long non-coding RNA. RefSeq lists it as uncharacterized. The record is from RefSeq and is a predicted model, not a curated record. The transcript has 3 exons. Lineage: Eukaryota; Metazoa; Chordata; Mammalia; Carnivora; Mustelidae.